This 253-nucleotide ribosomal RNA is filed under the name uncultured bacterium. RNAcentral describes it as "partial 16S ribosomal RNA". It matches the Rfam family "Bacterial small subunit ribosomal RNA", at positions 524 to 776 of the family's 1533-position model. The record is from RNAcentral.
UACGUAGGGGGCAAGCGUUGUCCGGAAUCAUUGGGCGUAAAGAGCGUGUAGGCGGCCCGGUAAGUCCGCUGUGAAAGUCGGGGGCUCAACCCUCGAAAGCCGGUGGAUACUGUCGGGCUAGAGUGCGGAAGAGGCGAGUGGAAUUCCUGGUGUAGCGGUGAAAUGCGCAGAUAUCAGGAGGAACACCAAUUGCGAAGGCAGCUCGCUGGGACGUUACUGACGCUGAGACGCGAAAGCGUGGGGAGCAAACAGG